Long non-coding RNA from Rosa chinensis, 1397 nucleotides. RefSeq lists it as uncharacterized. The record is from RefSeq and is a predicted model, not a curated record. NCBI's taxonomy places the organism in Eukaryota, Viridiplantae, Streptophyta, Magnoliopsida, Rosales, Rosaceae. The transcript is spliced from 9 exons.
AAAUUGGUUUGGGGUUUUUCAUUGCAAAUUAGAUGUAGUUGUUAGGUCUUUGUUCGAUUGAGUUUCGAUUUUGCUUCAUUUAGUUUACGGUCAACAUUCAAAACGACGAAUAAAGAGACUUCGUCUCUCAUUCUUUAAACGGAAAGUUUGAUACCCAGUCCUCUCUCAAUCCCCUUGAUUCAAAACUAAAAAUCCGAUCUCUCACAAUCCUUUCUAAAAUCCAGUCCUCUCUCACCCAGAUUUCUCUCCUAAUUUCCUUGACAAAUCGAUGAUCGACGGCGGUUGCAUGACGGGCAACGACACAUCUCUUCUCUCGGUCUCUCCUCGAAUGACGAUCUUCAUCUCUCUCUCCACAUCACUCGAUAUCUCAAUCUUUAAUUCAAAAUUUUGAUCAGUUUACUAGUUACCUUGAUAGUUUUGGAGUUAGCGGUGAGAUUCCAUCAACAUUUGCUAAUCUACAAAGCUUGCAGACACUUUGGGCAUCAGAUGUUGAACUCUCUGGCAGUAUACCUAACUUCAUAGGAAAUUGGUCAAAGCUUACUUCCUUGAGGUUUCAAGGAAACUCCUUUGAAGGUCCUAUACCAUCUGCACUUUCCAAUCUGACUUCUCUGACAGAGCUGUAUAUAACUGACUUAUCUACUACCAAUGGGAGCUCUUCUCUUCGGUUUAUUAAGGAUAUGAAGUCUCUAUCUGUCUUGUAAGGAGAAUCUUUCUUGCUCAAAUUUGAGUCUCAACUUCUGGAGAAUCUGUCUUCUAUAGUCAAAAGAUUGAAUCGGUUUUUGUCAUCAGAAUGAACGAACUUGGUAUGUCAAUGUUCCUCAAGAAAUCAACAGGCUGAGGUGCGGGGUGAACUAUCACGCUCUUAAAUUUCUUCCCGAGAUAGAGCAGAUGGCUGAUUUAUUGGCAUCAAGGAUGAGAAACCGCACUGGAAGUUCCAAUCCUUAUAUGUUAUGGAGGUCAUGAAGAUAUUGGAGAUUGACCUUGAAAGUGGAUGGAUUUUGCCCAAGUUAUUUCAGUGGGAAAGGAAAGCAAAUCACUUCUACACACAAAAAGACAUUGAUCAGGUCCGGGCCGAGUGGGCAAAGUAUGUAAGCCAAUUUCAACAAAGCUAGUGUGUCGAGAAGAUUCUAAUUUUGGACAUCCAUCAUCUAUAACCCAUAUUAACUAGUUAUGUUGUUGGUCUAAGUAUCUAUUUUUGGCCUGAAAGUACAGUUUAUGAUUAGUAGUAUGAGAUAUCAGUGUUUUUUGGGUUACAUUUGUUGAUCAUGCCAAUUGCUAUGGGUUAUUGAACUGAUGUUUAUUAAGUUUAGCUCCAUGAUGGAUGUAUGUAUAGCUGCAGGAACAGAUUGAUCAAAUAUUGGUAUUUUUGUGAAUGGAUUUCAUAUGUGAUGAAUGCA